Amblyraja radiata (thorny skate) is the source of this 250-nucleotide long non-coding RNA. RefSeq lists it as uncharacterized. The transcript has 3 exons. Lineage: Eukaryota; Metazoa; Chordata; Chondrichthyes; Rajiformes; Rajidae. The record is from RefSeq and is a predicted model, not a curated record.
UUAUCUACCCUCAGAGUAAAGAAGUUCCUCCUCACCUCGUUUCUAAAAGAGUGUCUUUUAAUUCUGAGGUUAUGACCUCUGGUCCAAGACUCUCCCACCAGUGGAAACAUCCUUUCCACAUCCACUCUAUCUAUACCUUUCAUUGUUAUGUAAGUUUCAAUGAGGUCCACCCUCAACCUUCGAAACUCCAGCGAGCAGAGGCCCAUGGCUGUCAAGCGCUCAUAAUAUGCUAAGGCACUCAUUUCUGGAA